UCUCCGUAGGUGAACCUGCGGAGGGAUCAUUACUGAGUGAGGGCUCACGCCCGACCUCCAACCCUUUGUAAUCCAUACCAUGUUGCCUCGGGGGCGACCCUGCCGUUUCGACGGCGAGCGCCCCCGGAGGCCUUCAAACACUGCAUCUUUGCGUCGGAGUUUAAGUAAAUUAAACAAAACUUUCAACAACGGAUCUCUUGGUUCUGGCAUCGAUGAAGAACGCAGC
This 226-nucleotide unclassified non-coding RNA is filed under the name uncultured fungus. Its description in RNAcentral is "sequence contains ITS1, 5.8S rRNA gene". The stretch from base 178 to 226 matches the Rfam family "5.8S ribosomal RNA", at positions 1 to 49 of the family's 154-position model. Lineage: Eukaryota; Fungi. The record is from RNAcentral.